RNAcentral lists this ribosomal RNA (740 nucleotides) under Trilacuna sp. CASENT9022325. RNAcentral's name for it is "eukaryotic LSU rRNA". The stretch from base 475 to 740 matches the Rfam family "Eukaryotic large subunit ribosomal RNA", at positions 665 to 898 of the family's 3401-position model. Lineage: Eukaryota; Metazoa; Arthropoda; Arachnida; Araneae; Oonopidae. The record is from RNAcentral.
CAAACGGGUGGGCCCUCGAAAUCCUCCGGCGGGGGGAUUCAGUCGGGAGGGGCCGGGGCGACGUGCGGCCGCACCGUCGGACCCUCUUCGGGGCCGGGCCGCCGUCGCGGUCCCUGCUCCGCCCGACGCAUUUCCUCCCGCGCUUGGACGCCGCAUCCGGUUGGGUAGCUGCGCGAGUCGGCCAUGAGGGCGGGCUCCGGAAGGUGGCCGGCGGCGCCGCAUCCGCGGCGCUGCCGGUUGUUAGCCUGCUCGCCUGUGGCGCGACACCCGACCGAGGUCGAAUCGUUCCCGUGCGGGAACUGGCCGUCCCCUUCCUGUGGAGCGGCGGCGCCGGAAGGUGCUUCGCGGGCGCGCCUCCUCACCCCUCGUGGUGUGUGGCGCCCUGCGUUCCCUGUUGGCCGGUGGCCGCCGCGGGGGUGCGCACGGCUGGCGGCGAGUGAGUCGGUCACCCACCCGACCCGUCUUGAAACACGGACCAAGGAGUCUAACAUGUGCGCGAGUCACGGGGUCUUGUUCAGGCCCAGGGGCGCAAUGAAAGUGAAGGCCGGCCCCGCGCCGGCCGUGCCGGGAUCCCCCGCCCUUCGCGGCGGGGGGGCACCGGCGAUCCGUCCUGUCCGAUUUAUCGGUUGGCUGGAGUCGGAGCGCACACGUUGGGACCCGAAAGAUGGUGAACUAUGCCUGGGCAGGACGAAGCCAGAGGAAACUCUGGUGGAGGUCCGUAGCGGUUCUGACGUGCAAAU